RNAcentral lists this ribosomal RNA (515 nucleotides) under uncultured bacterium. RNAcentral's name for it is "bacterial SSU rRNA". It matches the Rfam family "Bacterial small subunit ribosomal RNA", at positions 35 to 518 of the family's 1533-position model. The record is from RNAcentral.
GGACUAACGGCUGGCGGCGUGCCUAACACAUGCAAGUCGAACGAUUCUUGAUUUAUAGCAAUAUUAUUAAAGAGGAGUGGCGAACGGGUGAGUAACACGUAGAUAAUCUGCCUUCAGACGGGGACAACUCAGGGAAACUUGUGCUAAUACCCGAUGAGACCACAAGAAGGGAUUUUUUGUGGCCAAAGGCGGGCAGCAAUGCUCGUGCUGAAAGAUGAGUCUGCGUCCUAUCAGCUAGUUGGUGGGGUAAAUGCCUACCAAGGCUAAGACGGGUAGCCGGCCUGAGAGGGUGAACGGCCACACUGGGACUGAGACACGGCCCAGACUCCUACGGGAGGCAGCAGUGAGGAAUUUUCCGCAAUGGGCGCAAGCCUGACGGAGCGACGCCGCGUGAGGGAUGACAGCUUUCGGGUUGUAAACCUCUUUUAUUAAGGAAAAAGAUCUAUAUGCUAAUAUCAUGUAGAUUUGAUGGUACUUAUUGAAUAAGCCCCGGCUAACUACGUGCCAGCCGCCGC